AAACAGGCCAGAAUUGUUAUUUGCACAAUAAUUGGGAUUUUGUGAAAACGACAUUUUCCAGUUGUUAUUAGAUUUUGAAUGUCAAUAUUAACUAAAUUGACACACAAGGAAGAUAGACAUGCAUAUAAUUGAUUGAGACAAAAUUAAUGUAUUAAUUAUUUAUUAAAGAUUAGUAUUAUUAAUUGAAGUACUAUUAAUUGUUAAAAACAAUGUUGUGGCAACCAUGCCAGUGGUGCACUGCACCUUGUUUAUUUCCACCGUGAUUUUUCUGUGGGCACACAAUUCUUGUGUGCCCCUUCUUCCCACACACCCAGCAUAGCAUUCCUGUUUAAUAUUAAUAAACAAUAAAUGUA
This is a non-coding RNA of Paramuricea clavata, 353 nucleotides long. NCBI's taxonomy places the organism in Eukaryota, Metazoa, Cnidaria, Anthozoa, Malacalcyonacea, Plexauridae. The record is from the annotation of a GenBank genome assembly.